UUAUAAUAUAUUGGUUUGUUGUUAAGCGAUAAAAAUUAUAUUAAGGAGAAACUGGAAAAUAAAAAGGUGAAAUUGAAUUAUUUUUUACAGGAAAAAUAAAGAUUAGUAAUUAGAGCUGAAGCAAAAAAAAGUUGGAUUUAAACUAGGAUUAGAUACCCUAUUAUACCGAAAAGUAAUAUUACACAAACCUAAGUAUUUAAAGUUAUGUACUUGAAAUUUGAAGAAUUUGGCGGUGAUUUAGUCUUGUCAGAGGAACCUGUUUUUGAAUCGAUACACCACGAAGAAUCUUACUUAAGCUUGUUGUAGUAUGUAUACCAUCAUUAUUAGGUAAUUUUUAUAGAAUAAAUUACUGUAUAUUUGUUAAUAACGUUAAAUAUAUUAGAUCAAGGUGCAGCUAAUGCUUAAGUUAAAAUGGGUUACAAUAAAAUUUAUUUAAUACGGAAUAUCAAUUUAAACAGUUGAUUAGAAGGAGGAUUUGAUUGUAAAGUAAGUUUAAUAAGCUUAGUUAGAUAUAAGCUCUAAAUCAUGUACAUAUCGCCCGUCGCUUUCAUUAUUAAGAUGAGAUAAGUCGUAACAUAGUAGGCUUACUAGAAAGUGAGCCUGGA
This 605-nucleotide ribosomal RNA is filed under the name Scylla olivacea (orange mud crab). RNAcentral's name for it is "partial 12S ribosomal RNA". Lineage: Eukaryota; Metazoa; Arthropoda; Malacostraca; Decapoda; Portunidae. The record is from RNAcentral.